AUGCCCACCGGGGUACGGCGUAGGGGCAGAGCAUCUGGAAACCGGAACAGGAAGCGGCAGCAGCAAGGCAUGGGAAAUGAGCUCGACGCUUUCUCGGAAGAGCUUCAACGACGGCUAGAAGUAAGGACCAUCAACAAGUAUGCGCUCUUUGCCGCGUACGUCCGAAUUAUCCUGAAAACCAUCGGGGCCCUGAUGCUUUUGUGGGCCACCGUGGUCCUCCUCGGCGGCUUCGUCUCCGAUCUGACGAAGAGGGACUUUUGGUGUCUGACCAUCCUCUCAUUCCUGCAGGCCGCCGGGUUAGUGCUUAGUAUUCAGUUUCCUCUCGUAUCGAGCUCGCGGUCCGCCGCCGCGCCUCCUCCAGCUCCCUGCCGCGGGGAGCUCGUCCGCGGGCGCCUCGAGCUCGCGGCUCACUCCGGUCAAGAGAGAGCCGGAGGAGCUCGGGCCACUCGCCGUCAAGCUCGAGGCCGACGCGGACCCGCCGCAUCGGUCGUCAUCGGUCGUGAAGACUACCUCCCCCCGGGGCAGGAGGACCACCUUGAGCGUGCUAUCAUGGAACGCUCGGCGAGGGAUGAGGAGGAGGCCGACGCGCGCCGCCGCCGUGAGCUCGAGAUUGAGGACAUCUUCCUCAAGCAGGGCGUCGCGGCGUUGCAGGCGCACGCGUUCGAUGAGGCAGACCUACGCGUCAUGAAGGCCGAGCAGGCCAAGGUGACUAAUCGGCCAAAGAUGCUCAACCCACCAAGUUUGGUGUCAACAGGAGGGGAGGAGCGGUGGCAUUCUUGGGACCAGAGCGGCGGCAACCUAUCAUGCACUACUCUUCCUCGAUGAUCCACCGCCACCAUCUUCCGCCGUCCAGUAUUCAGGAGGAAUCACUGCAUAAAUCUUGCCAGUCACAUCUACCAUCGACGCCAUCACGACGCCACACAGUGCCAUUUUAGACCUUCCAUCAAUGGAGAUAUCAAUGGAGACAACAUCUUCCUUACUGCAGAUUGGAUGGAAGAUUAUUUGAAAGAUGAAAAAGAGAAGAUUGACAAACCAACUCCAAGCCAAACAAAUACUUCACCAAGACCGUCAAUGGGAACAUGUAUGGGUAAUCGCAAUAAAAAGAUCAAAGAGAAGAGGGCCCAACAAGCAAAAGAAGCACAUGCAGAAAAGAAGAUGAAAGAAGCUCAGGAAACUGCAAGCCGGCUUAAAGAAAAGGCUGGUGAAACAUUGGCCAUCCUGUCUAGUGAUUCAGAGGCUAUCAAGAGCUUCACAGGUUGCGAUGAUGAUAUCCAUCGUCUUACUGAAUUGCUUGACUGCAAUAUCAAGACCAUCAAAUGCAAAAUAAAUACAACGGAUACUGUGGAAAUAGAUAUCAACACGGGCUGUCGUAUUAGUGUAGGAGUCAUCUUGAAGAAUUUGAGCAACUACGUCAAGGCACCAACCUUACGGAAGGUAUUCGAACAAUUGCUUCCAGUAGAACAAGACCAGCCUUUCACUUCAGGGACCCCCAACAAGCAGCGUGGGGAUAGGAUGCUGCAAGCGGAGCUGUUAUCGCUCGUUGCGGCGAUUCGUGCAAACAACAAUCUUAAUCUUGCAGGAAUCUUACUUUCGCAGACGCCGCCGGAUACCUUGGAAGACUUUGUGGUGAGGCUGAAGAAGAUGGUCAAGGACAACAUGUAUGCCACCCCUGCAUGCCUGGCGAUACAAAAGCUUACUUGUGAGCUGGUUAUAGAAUUCAUCAAGCAUGAUCGAAACGUCGAAAGGAUCGACAGACACAAUAUUGUUGCAACAUUACUGGAGGCUUCAGAGGUGAUGGACUGUGUUGAGAGCGACAUGCUUUUCGCUGGUGUCGAUCGUGACUGCUAUGGGGUUCCUCUGAAGCCUCUUUCUUCUGUUCUGGCAAAAAAUGCCGAAGAUCUUUUGGCGCAGAGGAAACAGGCUCUGGGUAUCAACAUUGUGCCUGCCAGUGCACCAAUACCGUGA
Molecule: ribosomal RNA, 1965 nt
Filed under: Triticum aestivum (bread wheat)
Lineage: Eukaryota; Viridiplantae; Streptophyta; Magnoliopsida; Poales; Poaceae
Description: partial small subunit ribosomal RNA
Source: RNAcentral